CAGAGGUGGCAAGCGUUGUUCGGAAUUACUGGGCGUAAAGGGCGCGUAGGCGGCCUUCUAAGUCAGACGUGAAAUCCCCAGGCUUAACUUGGGAACUGCGUCUGAUACUGGAGGGCUCGAGUGCGGGAGAGGGAUGUGGAAUUCCAGGUGUAGCGGUGAAAUGCGUAGAUAUCUGGAGGAACACCGGUGACGAAGGCGGCAUCCUGGACCGACACUGACGCUGAGGCGCGAAAGCUAGGGGAGCAAACGGGAUUAGAUACCCCGGUAGUCCUAGCCCUAAACGAUGAGUGCUUGGUGUGGCGGGUAUCGAUCCCUGCCGUGCCGAAGCUAACGCAUUAAGCACUCCGCCUGGGGAGUACGGUCGCAAGGCUG
RNAcentral lists this ribosomal RNA (372 nucleotides) under uncultured organism. RNAcentral's name for it is "bacterial SSU rRNA". It matches the Rfam family "Bacterial small subunit ribosomal RNA", at positions 526 to 896 of the family's 1533-position model. The record is from RNAcentral.